UGUAAAGAUACACAUUCCAAUUUGUAAAGAC
RNAcentral lists this non-coding RNA (31 nucleotides) under Mus musculus (house mouse). The record is from RNAcentral. Lineage: Eukaryota; Metazoa; Chordata; Mammalia; Rodentia; Muridae.